GAUGAACGCUGGCGGCGUGCCUAAUACAUGCCAGUCGAGCGAACAGAUGAGGAGCUUGCUCCUCUGACGUUAGCGGCGGACGUGUGAGUAACACGUGGAUCACCUACCUAUAAGACUGGGAUAACUUCGGGAAACCGGAGCUAAUACCGGAUAAUAUAUUGAACCGCAUGGUUCAAUAGUGAAAGACGGUUUUGCUGUCACUUAUAGCUGGAUCCGCGCCGCAUUAGCUAGUUGGUAAGGUAACGGCUUACCAAGGCAACGAUGCGUAGCCGACCUGAGAGGGUGAUCGGCCACACGGGAACUGAGACACGGUCCAGGCUCCUACGGGAGGCAGCAGUAGGGAAUCGUCCGCAAUGGGCGAAAGCCUGACGGAGCAACGCCGCGUGAGUGAUGAAGGUCUUCGGAUCGUAAAACUCUGUUAUUAGGGAAGAACAAAUGUGUAAGUAACUAUGCACGUCUUGACGGUACCUAAUCAGAAAGCCACGGCUAACUACGUG
This 497-nucleotide ribosomal RNA is filed under the name uncultured bacterium. RNAcentral describes it as "partial 16S ribosomal RNA". It matches the Rfam family "Bacterial small subunit ribosomal RNA", at positions 28 to 507 of the family's 1533-position model. The record is from RNAcentral.